CCCUUAGAUGUUCUGGGCUGCACGCGCGCUACACUGAAGCGUUCAACGAGUAUUCACCUUGCCCGGGAGGGUUGGGUAAUCUUUUUAAAACGCUUCGUGAUGGGGAUAGAUUAUUGCAAUUAUUAAUCUUCAACGAGGAAUUCCUAGUAAGCGCGAGUCAUCAGCUCGUGCUGAUUACGUCCCUGCCCUUUGUACACACCGCCCGUCGCUCCUACCGAUUGAAUGGUCCGGUGAAAUCUUCGGAUCUGAGAGAUGUCUGAUUAAUUUCGGACGCCUUUUGGAAAAGUUGUUUAAACCUUACCAUUUAGAGGAGGGUGAAGUCGUAACA
This 328-nucleotide ribosomal RNA is filed under the name uncultured eukaryote. Its description in RNAcentral is "partial 18S ribosomal RNA". It matches the Rfam family "Eukaryotic small subunit ribosomal RNA", at positions 1470 to 1796 of the family's 1831-position model. The record is from RNAcentral.